RNAcentral lists this non-coding RNA (180 nucleotides) under Escherichia coli. RNAcentral's name for it is "6S RNA". It matches the Rfam family "6S / SsrS RNA". From Rfam's summary of the family: E. coli 6S RNA was the first non coding RNA to be sequenced, but its function was unknown until recently. It consists of 184 nucleotides that fold into an extended hairpin structure with a large single-stranded internal bulge. The 6S RNA specifically associates with RNA polymerase holoenzyme containing the sigma70 specificity factor. The record is from RNAcentral. Lineage: Bacteria; Pseudomonadati; Pseudomonadota; Gammaproteobacteria; Enterobacterales; Enterobacteriaceae.
AUUUCUCUGAGAUGUUCGCAAGCGCCAGUCCCUGAGCCGAUAUUUCAUACCACAAGAAUGUGAGGCUCCGCGGUUGGUGAGCAUGCUCGGUCCGUCCGAGAAGCCUUAAACUGCGCACGACACAUUCACCUUGAACCAAGGGUUCAUAUUACAGCCCUGCGGCGGCAUCUCGGAGAUUCC